RNAcentral lists this ribosomal RNA (498 nucleotides) under uncultured bacterium. Its description in RNAcentral is "partial 16S ribosomal RNA". It matches the Rfam family "Bacterial small subunit ribosomal RNA", at positions 29 to 507 of the family's 1533-position model. The record is from RNAcentral.
AUGAACGCUGGCGGCGUGCCUAAUACAUGCAAGUCGAGCGAACAGACGAGAGUGCUUGCACUCUCUGACGUUCGCGGCGGACGGGUGAGUAACACGUGGGUAACCUACCUAUAAGACUGGGAUAACUUCGGGAAACCGGAGCUAAUACCGGAUAAUAUUUAGCUUCGCAUGAAGCAAUAGUGAAAGACGGUUCUGCUGUCACUUAUAGAUGGACCCGCGGUGUAUUAGCUAGUUGGUGAGGUAACGGCUCACCAAGGCAACGAUACAUAGCCGACCUGAGAGGGUGAUCGGCCACACUGGGACUGAGACACGGCCCAGACUCCUACGGGAGGCAGCAGUAGGGAAUCUUCCGCAAUGGACGAAAGUCUGACGGAGCAAUGCCGCGUGAGUGAAGAAGGUUUUCGGAUCGUAAAACUCUGUUGUAAGGGAAGAACAAGUACGUUAGUAACUGAACGUACCUUGACGGUACCUUACCAGAAAGCCACGGCUAACUACGUG